GAAUGAGAAACUGUAGACUGAAGUCCUCUAUUUAGCCAUACAGCAGGUACAGUAUGGGCAAUAGUAGUGUAAACUUCCCCACACCAACUCAUCUUUAGGUUACCAACAAUCUGAUCUGAACUGAAACCAGUGACUUGGGCUGGCAGCCUCUGUUUCCCAUUCCUAAUCCUCACAGUCUUCC
This is an unclassified non-coding RNA of Gopherus agassizii (Agassiz's desert tortoise), 181 nucleotides long. The record is from Ensembl. NCBI's taxonomy places the organism in Eukaryota, Metazoa, Chordata, Testudines, Testudinidae.